This 455-nucleotide RNase P RNA is filed under the name bovine gut metagenome. RNAcentral's name for it is "Bacterial RNase P class A". It matches the Rfam family "Bacterial RNase P class A". From Rfam's summary of the family: Ribonuclease P (RNase P) is a ubiquitous endoribonuclease, found in archaea, bacteria and eukarya as well as chloroplasts and mitochondria. The record is from RNAcentral.
UCGCUGGGCCUUUUGUGCCGAGAGGAAAGUCCGGGCAGCACGAGCCACCAUGCUUCCUAACGGGAAGGGACCAUAAGGGUAACCGAAUGGCCACAGAAAGCGCCACAGAGACAAUACCGCCUUUCGAGAGAGGAAAGGUUAUUGGUUAUAGGUUAUUGGUUAUGGACGAUUGUUCAACACUGUGUGUAACAACCUCGCCCAAUCUCCAUAACCCAUAACCAGUAACCUGCCCCCCUCAGAAAGGUAAGGGUGAAAACGCGGGGUAAGAGCCCACGACGUGUUCCGGCGACGGGCACGAUGGCAAGCCUCAUGGGCUGAAAGACCAAAUAUACCGAUAGGCCGCAAGGCAGCGGGCAGGCUCGCCCGCAUUAUCGGGGGGUAGGUUGAUAGAGGCCGUCGGCGACGGCGGCAGUAGAUUGAUGAUAGAACACGACAGAACCCGGCUUAUAGGUCCU